Molecule: non-coding RNA, 90 nt
Organism: Pangasianodon gigas (Mekong giant catfish)
Lineage: Eukaryota; Metazoa; Chordata; Actinopteri; Siluriformes; Pangasiidae
Source: the annotation of a GenBank genome assembly
GGCUCUGUGGUGCAAUGGAUAACGCAUUGGGCUUCCAAGUUCAGGUUUGCUACCAUUCCAAGGUUGUGGGUUCAAGUACCACCAGAGUUG